Mesocricetus auratus (golden hamster) is the source of this 2275-nucleotide long non-coding RNA. RefSeq lists it as uncharacterized. The record is from RefSeq and is a predicted model, not a curated record. The transcript has 4 exons. NCBI's taxonomy places the organism in Eukaryota, Metazoa, Chordata, Mammalia, Rodentia, Cricetidae.
GUCUGGAUGCUUAGGCACUGAGUGUAUGGACUCAUAGAUGGUAAAACAGCUUCAUUUUUCAUCCACAAUGGACGGGGAGUGAGUGCUAGGCACACCACAUGGGAAGGAUCCUGGGGCUGUGUUCCAGUUAGAAGCACACUCUUAUAACAUGGGCUUUAACUUGGGCAGGGACUAAGCUAAGUUCAGACUCUUAUCAUUCUCAUCUCAUUACACCUGUUUUAAGGAGACAGCAUACUAAAAGGGAAAGAUAAGGAAUGGGUUAGGCCUGAUUUCAAUCCUGGGUCUGUUCCUCCUCAGCGGAUAGUAGGCCAUUUACUGAACCUUAUGAGUCUCAUUUUCUUAUGUGCAAAACGGGAAUGAUAACAUCAAAUGAAGGAAGCUUCCCAGGAACUGGACCCUAUUUACUCCUCUGAUCUGUCCUGCAGCGAAGCAUCUUUCUCCACCCUCUUGCAAGAAAGUCUCUCCCACCAACAGCCCUGUUCCAGAAUGGCAGAGGGAGCUGUAAGUAACUGGACUGUACAGGAUCAACUAUUUCCCCCUUUUGUCAGAGGAUAAAAAGGCAAAACAACAAUAAGAGUGUUUCUUCCCAUUGUUUUUGGUAUAUUAAUUGUACUGGGCAAGUCUACUAGCAAGUGUCCUGAAUGAAAUGCUCUGUUCAACUCCUAGUGACUUUACUGGCAGUGUGAUCUUAGAGAGCAGCUGUAAGGAAUAUAUGAGUAUGUUCUCAUAGCAUCAGAAUGAUGCUAACUGCUAAAUUAGUCUUUGCUGUUUAAAAGUUUUUAUGCUUUCUAGGUAGGUGCUCCCUACCACUGAGCUGCAGGCUCAUCCCUCAGACUUUUGCUUCCACAAUGCACCUCGGAUGUUAAUCAUAUUCAAAACCACCAAGUUCUAGAAAUGGAUCUGGAGGGGAAAAGCAAAAAUGCCAACUCCUUGAUGCCAGCAUCUGCCACCUGGGAUCAGUCAGCCAUUCUUCUGGCAACUAUUUGGAGCAUCUGGCUCAUGUCUUGAGUCAGGCCAGGGUAUUUUUGGAAGUACUUACAGAAGCCAUGACAGGCAUAAGAAUUGCAAUCCAGCCUCCCAUAAAUAGGUUUCACAAUGAACAUAGUUCUUUCACAGGCUUCAUAUACAUAUAGAAGUUCUGGCAUUGGCCAGAGAAAAUAGUUUUCUUCAGAGCUGUGGCCUCUUUUCCUGUGGAGGAAGAGCCAGGCAGUUAUGGAGAAGCCCAGGCUACAUUCUCUGGUCCUGGGAAUGACACAAGUCCUCCCUGCAACAGAUGUCAGUAUGCAGUCUAGUAAUUACAACCCAGUUAAUAAAAUCUCCUGGGCUCCCGGAAGAGCACAAGUCCUUUCUGACAUGAAGGUGUCCUUUGCCAAACUAUUCAUCCUCACCAUCAUACUUGGACAGAUGCCAUGUACAAUUUGCUCAUCUUCAAAGAGAAUAUGGGGCUUACUUCCUAAAUAGCACAUUGGAUAGUCAUAGUAAAUGUUCAUUAAACUCAGCUGUAAAUGCAAAAAAUGUGAUUUGUUACGAAGCUAUAACUCAGAGCUUCUCAUAAUAUCUUUUGUAAGGAGCAAGUGGGCUUUGCACAAUGGUGGGCUACUCCACUGCUGGCAGCUGUUACAACUGCUACACUAAGCAAGAAAACGUUACAGAAACACAAAGUCACUGCAGCUUUCACUAACAUUUCCUUGACAUGGUUCAGGUUUAAGUCAUAGAUUAUUAGUUUAUGAAUACUUAAAAUACAUGGUGUAGUAGUCAAACUGACCCAUGACUCAGGUAUUCACUAACAGCCACACUGAAAGUUACAGCCUCUAUCUGUUGCAGAUGCCCUGCAAAACACAACACACUGGAUUGAAUUCCUUAACUUUGUAGAGGAGACCAGUGUGUUGGUGGCAGCCUUUGCGUUCCUGCUCAGAAGUUCCAGACUGAGUACUCCAGUAGAAUGAAAGGGCACAGCCAGGCGGGGAUCUGGAGUGAGGCAUGUACUAUGGGAAUCACACAUUUGGAAAAGAAAGGUGGCCCUCCCUUGUUGAGUUCUAGGUACAUCUCACUCCAUCUUGCUUCUCUUGAGCUUUUCUCCUGUGAUAUUCCCAACCCUGGACUCUGUUCUUGCCCACUGGGCCAUCUGUGUGUCCCCCAUCCCCACUGCGCUGGGAGAUGGCUCCACACCAGGCAUCUAUGGGCAGCAUUAAUUGGAUUCAGUGGGUUAUUAGAAACAAAAUGAUGACAUGAAAUUGAGAGGGAAUAGGGUAUGAAGUAGAUCUUGAAAGAGAGA